GACGAACGCUGGCGGCGUGCUUAACACAUGCAAGUCGAACGAAGAGCGAUGGAAGCUUGCUUCUAUCAAUCUUAGUGGCGAACGGGUGAGUAACGCGUAAUCAACCUGCCCUUCAGAGGGGGACAACAGUUGGAAACGACUGCUAAUACCGCAUACGAUCUAACCUCGGCAUCGAGGAUAGAUGAAAGGUGGCCUCUACAUGUAAGCUAUCACUGAAGGAGGGGAGUGCGUCUGAUUAGCUAGUUGGAGGGGUAACGGCCCACCAAGGCGAUGAUCAGUAGCCGGUCUGAGAGGAUGAACGGCCACAUUGGGACUGAGACACGGCCCAGACUCCUACGGGAGGCAGCAGUGGGGAAUCUUCCGCAAUGGACGAAAGUCUGACGGAGCAACGCCGCGUGAGUGAUGACGGCCUUCGGGUUGUAAAGCUCUGUUAAUCGGGACGAAAGGCCUUCUUGCGAAUAGUUAGAAGGAUUGACGGUACCGGAAUAGAAAGCCACGGCUAACUACGUG
This 510-nucleotide ribosomal RNA is filed under the name uncultured bacterium. RNAcentral describes it as "partial 16S ribosomal RNA". It matches the Rfam family "Bacterial small subunit ribosomal RNA", at positions 28 to 507 of the family's 1533-position model. The record is from RNAcentral.